AAUUUGUUUUUUAAUUGAGAAAUAGAAUGAAUGGAUUCAUUAAAUUAAAAUUUUAUUAAUUUAAUUUUUAAAAUUUUUAUUUUUAGUGAAAAUACUAAAAAAAAUUUUUUAGACAAAAAGACCCUAUGAAACUAAUAAUAUAUAAAUAAUUAUAAUUUUUAUUAAAUUAUUUUUUUGGGGAAAAAUUUAAAAAUAAUAUUUUUAAAUAUAAAUAAAAUUAUCCUAAUGGAAUAAAAAAAUAGUUCCUCUAGGGAUAACAGCAUAAUAGUUAUAAAAGAUCUUAUUAAAAUAAUUGU
Molecule: ribosomal RNA, 296 nt
Filed under: Euchirella curticauda
Lineage: Eukaryota; Metazoa; Arthropoda; Copepoda; Calanoida; Aetideidae
Description: partial 16S rRNA
Source: RNAcentral